GGUUUUCAGACUUCACAGCUAGCAUCCAAAAACUUGCAUAACAGCACCUAGCUCUCUCUCCUAAACCCUCUGGACGUGCCGAUAAGCUACAGAAAUCACGCUCUCAGUUCUUAAAAAAACAUAGUUCCUUCCAUUCCAUAUCUACUCAAUCAGUCUUGCCAACUUCUUACCGGAACGGGGAUGUACUACAGUUUGGUCGAAGAAGGGGCUCUAUGGAAUUUACAAACGCCAAAUAAGCCCAUGGUAAAGAACAACAGAAGGCAUCUACCAUAGCAAGGACAGUGAUCAAACUCUGCUGAGGGGCUUCGCAAACUAAAGGAGAGCGUUCGAUUACUAGUUGGGUACGGGAAAGGUGGUUGAACCUUUUAGAAACUAUACUUGAGCCACCAGAUCAAACUCUCAAAGUAAGAAGAGCGAACUCCGGUCAGUCCAACGUUGCCACCUCUCCGGCCCCGGCCUGGCGGGGCGCGCAUCUCAGCCCCCCGGGCGAGCUCCAGGCGCAAGAUGUCGAUUCUGCCCUCUGGAGCUGUCAGUGGCUCGGUCCCCUCGCCCACCUGCGGCCGGGAGGGGCGCGCCCAGGGCCCACCUGCACUAACCGCCGAGCACUGGGGGGAUGGAGGAAGACUGAGGCCGGGUAGGCUGCUUUUCCGUCCCUGAGGAACGCUGAUCGAGGCCUGGGCCCUAGAGGAGCUGCCCUGGAAAAAGUCGUUGCGCGCCGAGCAUCCUGGCCCCUCGCCUGCAGUCCUGAAUCUAGGGAGGGUCCUUCUCCGCUCGCAGAAAUAAUACUUACAGCCGAGCGACCCAGGACGGGAGCGGCUCCGGCAGGCGCGCCAGCUGCUGGUGACUACAGUCCAGGAGGUCCCCGAGGCAGCGACAUGGAGCGGGGCACUGGCGCUCCGGGGCGACCCCCGAAGGCGGCCCUAGCGCCGGAUGGCUGCCGCCCUCGGUCGGGUCUGCGCGCCCCAGCACGGUGCACAGCAGCAACCCUAGCGCCGCCGCAGGCGCGCAGAGCCUCGGCGCGCCCAUCGAGGUCCUGCGGCCUCUCGCUCCGCCCGGGGCUCCGCAGCCGGCGCGCACUCGGAGCCCUGCACCAACUUCCAGCGGGAGAGUGGACGCCCGAGCUCUGGGCCGCGUGUGCACGCGUUCCUCUCACGCUCCCAGGUGACUGGGGCUACAGGAAGUGAUGGAGACCUCAGAGAUCAUCUGGGAUGGCCCUCCUCCUCUGGGUGAGGAAAUAAACCCAGAGAAG
This 1249-nucleotide long non-coding RNA is filed under the name Sus scrofa (pig). RNAcentral describes it as "lncRNA (ENSSSCG00040061398.1)". The record is from RNAcentral. Lineage: Eukaryota; Metazoa; Chordata; Mammalia; Artiodactyla; Suidae.